UACGAAGGGGGCUAGCGUUGUUCGGAUUUACUGGGCGUAAAGCGCACGUAGGCGGAUUGUUAAGUGAGGGGUGAAAUCCUGGAGCUCAACUCCAGAACUGCCUUUCAUACUGGCAAUCUAGAGUCCGGAAGAGGUAAGUGGAACUCCUAGUGUAGAGGUGGAAUUCGUAGAUAUUAGGAAGAACACCAGUGGCGAAGGCGGCUUACUGGUCCGGUACUGACGCUGAGACGCGAAAGCGUGGGAGCAAACAGG
RNAcentral lists this ribosomal RNA (252 nucleotides) under uncultured bacterium. RNAcentral describes it as "partial 16S ribosomal RNA". It matches the Rfam family "Bacterial small subunit ribosomal RNA", at positions 524 to 776 of the family's 1533-position model. The record is from RNAcentral.